CCGGGGCGGACGCACGGCGACAGGGCCCCGCGCUCACUGCGCGCUGGGCCGCGAGAGGGCCGCGCUCGGGCAGCGGCGGCGGCGGCGGCGGCGGCCUGGGGACAUGGCUGGAGGGCGGCGCUAGGCGCAGCUUCCUGGUCUGGGAGCAUAUCACUCAAGACUGCCUGCUUUGCUCCCAAGAGGCCUUCGCCCUGCUCUGUCUGGCCCACGGUCCCUGUCUCAUCACCAGGAGCCCCUCCCGCCAGCCGCUUCCCGAGCCUGGCAUCCAGCAGACACCGAAUGC
Manis pentadactyla (Chinese pangolin) is the source of this 283-nucleotide long non-coding RNA. RefSeq lists it as uncharacterized. The transcript has 3 exons. Lineage: Eukaryota; Metazoa; Chordata; Mammalia; Pholidota; Manidae. The record is from RefSeq and is a predicted model, not a curated record.